This 465-nucleotide ribosomal RNA is filed under the name uncultured bacterium. RNAcentral describes it as "partial 16S ribosomal RNA". It matches the Rfam family "Bacterial small subunit ribosomal RNA", at positions 338 to 795 of the family's 1533-position model. The record is from RNAcentral.
CCUACGGGAGACAGCAGUGGGGAAUAUUGCGCAAUGGGCGAAAGCCUGACGCAGCGACGCCGCGUGAGGGAUGAAGGUCUUCGGAUCGUAAACCUCUGUCAGCAGGGAAGAACGGUCACUGUGCUAAUCAGCAGUGAAUUGACGGUACCUGCAAAGGAAGCACCGGCUAACUCCGUGCCAGCAGCCGCGGUAAUACGGAGGGUGCGAGCGUUAAUCGGAAUUACUGGGCGUAAAGCGCUCGUAGGCGGUAUGUCAAGUCAAGGGUGAAAUCCCCGCGCUCAACGUGGGAACUGCCUUUGAAACUGGCAAACUGGAGUGUGUGAGAGGAUAGUGGAAUUCCAGGUGUAGGGGUGAAAUGCGUAGAUAUCUGGAGGAACAUCAGUGGCGAAGGCGACUAUCUGGCACAUAACUGACGCUGAGGAGCGAAAGCGUGGGUAGCAAACAGGAUUAGAUACCCGAGUAGUC